UGGGAGAUCGUCUAAUGGUAGGACAAUAGAUUCUGGAUCUAUUUAUCUUGGUUCGAAUCCAAGUCUCCCAGCCC
RNAcentral lists this transfer RNA (74 nucleotides) under Candidatus Nomurabacteria bacterium RIFCSPLOWO2_01_FULL_37_25. RNAcentral describes it as "tRNA-Gln". It matches the Rfam family "tRNA". From Rfam's summary of the family: Transfer RNA (tRNA) molecules are approximately 80 nucleotides in length. Their secondary structure includes four short double-helical elements and three loops (D, anti-codon, and T loops). Further hydrogen bonds mediate the characteristic L-shaped molecular structure. tRNAs have two regions of fundamental functional importance: the anti-codon, which is responsible for specific mRNA codon recognition, and the 3' end, to which the tRNAs corresponding amino acid is attached (by aminoacyl-tRNA synthetases). tRNAs cope with the degeneracy of the genetic code in two manners: having more than one tRNA (with a specific anti-codon) for a particular amino acid; and 'wobble' base-pairing, i.e. permitting non-standard base-pairing at the 3rd anti-codon position. Lineage: Bacteria; Candidatus Nomuraibacteriota. The record is from RNAcentral.